This is a long non-coding RNA of Vidua macroura (Pin-tailed whydah), 470 nucleotides long. RefSeq lists it as uncharacterized. Lineage: Eukaryota; Metazoa; Chordata; Aves; Passeriformes; Viduidae. The transcript has 6 exons. The record is from RefSeq and is a predicted model, not a curated record.
GCCCGGGCGAGCCCCGGCCAUGGGCGAGAGGCGGCGCGGGGAGAGCGGCGAGCCGGGCACGGGAUUUCCCCAGGAUCCCGAGGAGCAGAGUUCCCUGUCAGCACGGAUUCCAGUACAGCAGAGCCAUCCUGGUGGAAAACGAGCUUUUCCUGAGUGAGCUCCAAGCUUUUGCCCGAGCCAGGAGGAGCUGCAGGAGACCUUUGCAUUCCUGCUCUUUGACAAGGAGGAGGAGGCCCAGCAGGUGUGUCAGAGCGGGCUCCGUGUCAACAGCAGCAACAUCUCCACCCUGGGGGAUCCUGCCAAAGGGGUUUAUAUUUCCAAAUAUUCCGACUGCCUCCAUCCCAGCCCUUGGCACCACGGAAAAUCGGGAUUUAUUGUCAUCUGUAAACUCAUCAAGGGCAAGGUCGGAGCCAUCCCCGAGAGCUCCCCCAGCAGCUCCACGUUCCCCUCGCCCGGCUACGACUGCCGCG